RNAcentral lists this ribosomal RNA (480 nucleotides) under uncultured Rhodoferax sp. Its description in RNAcentral is "bacterial SSU rRNA". It matches the Rfam family "Bacterial small subunit ribosomal RNA", at positions 901 to 1382 of the family's 1533-position model. Lineage: Bacteria; Pseudomonadati; Pseudomonadota; Betaproteobacteria; Burkholderiales; Comamonadaceae. The record is from RNAcentral.
UUAAAGGAAUUGACGGGGACCCGCACAAGCGGUGGAUGAUGUGGUUUAAUUCGAUGCAACGCGAAAACCUUACCUACCUUUGACAUGUACGGAACUCGCCAGAGAUGGCUUGGUGCUCGAAAGAGAACCGUAACACAGGUGCUGCAUGGCUGUCGUCAGCUCGUGUCGUGAGAUGUUGGGUUAAGUCCCGCAACGAGCGCAACCCUUGUCAUUAGUUGCUACAUUUAGUUGGGCACUCUAAUGAGACUGCCGGUGACAAACCGGAGGAAGGUGGGGAUGACGUCAAGUCCUCAUGGCCCUUAUAGGUAGGGCUACACACGUCAUACAAUGGCUGGUACAAAGGGUUGCCAACCCGCGAGGGGGAGCUAAUCCCAUAAAGCCAGUCGUAGUCCGGAUCGCAGUCUGCAACUCGACUGCGUGAAGUCGGAAUCGCUAGUAAUCGUGGAUCAGAAUGUCACGGUGAAUACGUUCCCGGGUCUU